GUACACGCUGUGACUAGCAUAUCAAUAAGCGGAGGAAAAGAAACUAACAAGGAUUCCCCUAGUAACGGCGAGUGAAGCGGGAAGAGCUCAAAUUUGAAAUCUUAAAGGGUUUCCCUUUACGAAUUGUAGUUUAAAGAAGUGUUUUCUGUUGAGGUUUUGGUAAAAGUUCUUUGGAAUAGGACAUCAUAGAGGGUGAGAAUCCCGUAUUUGACCUUUACUUUCAACUUUGUGAUACACUUUCAAAGAGUCGGAUUGUUUGGGAAUGCAGUCCAAAAUGGGUGGUAAAUUUCAUCUAAAGCUAAAUAUUGGCGAGAGACCGAUAGCGAACAAGUACCGUGAGGGAAAGAUGAAAAGAACUUUGAAAAGAGAGUUAAACAGUACGUGAAAUUGUCAAAAGGGAAGCGUUUGACACCAGUGUUGUUUUUCUGAAAAUCAAUUAAAGAACUGUUUAUGCUAAGCUGUUUAGACUUUAUCAGCUAACUGUUUAGUUUUGAGCUUUUCUUUAAUGCACUUUUCAGUUAACAAGUCAACAUCAAUUUCUUUUGCUGUAAAAAAGCUUGAGGAAGGUGGCUUGAGAUUCAUCUUAAGUGUUUAUAGCCUCUUGCCUAUGCAGUCGGAGAGAUUGAGGUCUGCAGCGUAGAUCCUUCGGGGCUAAAUGCAUUUGUGCUAAGUUAUAGCAUUUUAUAGACAACUUGUUGACUAUGAUUUGUCUUGUAGCUUACUCGCUUAUGUUAUUUUACCUACGCUUAGGAUGUUGAAGAUGUAGCACAUCAU
This 774-nucleotide ribosomal RNA is filed under the name uncultured Neocallimastigales. Its description in RNAcentral is "partial large subunit ribosomal RNA". It matches the Rfam family "Eukaryotic large subunit ribosomal RNA", at positions 22 to 639 of the family's 3401-position model. The record is from RNAcentral. Lineage: Eukaryota; Fungi; Neocallimastigomycota; Neocallimastigomycetes; Neocallimastigales.